GGAGCGGUGGCAGAAUGGCUAUUGCACUCGCCUCGAAAGCGAGCGUCCGCGAGGACUUGGGGGUUCGAAUCCCUCCCGCUCCG
RNAcentral lists this transfer RNA (83 nucleotides) under Gemmatimonadota bacterium. RNAcentral describes it as "Gemmatimonadetes bacterium (sponge metagenome) tRNA-Ser". It matches the Rfam family "tRNA". Rfam says of the family: Transfer RNA (tRNA) molecules are approximately 80 nucleotides in length. Their secondary structure includes four short double-helical elements and three loops (D, anti-codon, and T loops). Lineage: Bacteria; Pseudomonadati; Gemmatimonadota. The record is from RNAcentral.